This 252-nucleotide ribosomal RNA is filed under the name uncultured bacterium. Its description in RNAcentral is "partial 16S ribosomal RNA". It matches the Rfam family "Bacterial small subunit ribosomal RNA", at positions 524 to 776 of the family's 1533-position model. The record is from RNAcentral.
UACAGAGGGUGCAAGCGUUGUUCGGAAUUAUUGGGCGUAAAGCGCGCGCAGGCGGUCAUUUAAGUCUGGUGUAUAAUCCUAGGGCUCAACCUUGGGUCGCACUGGAAACUGGAUGACUUGAGUGCAGAAGAGGAGAGUGGAAUUCCACGUGUAGCGGUGAAAUGCGUAGAGAUGUGGAGGAACACCAGUGGCGAAGGCGACUCUCUGGGCUGUAACUGACGCUGAGGCGCGAAAGCGUGGGGAGCAAACAGG